AUGUAAGUGUCUCAGCAGUUGGACAGCCCAAGUUGAUUUUACCUGAGCUUGAAAGCUGAGCAGGUUUGAGCCUGUUAGUACUUAGAUGGGAGGCCACCUGAGAAUAUCAGGUGCUUUAUAUU
Molecule: ribosomal RNA, 122 nt
Filed under: Salvator merianae (Argentine black and white tegu)
Lineage: Eukaryota; Metazoa; Chordata; Lepidosauria; Squamata; Teiidae
Source: RNAcentral